UACGUAGGAGGCGAGCGUUGUCCGGAUUUAUUGGGCGUAAAGAGCGCGUAGGCGGCCUGGCAAGUUGGGUGUGAAAUCCCCUGGCUUAACUGGGGGGAGUCAUCCGAUACUGCCAAGCUUGAGGCAGGCAGAGGAAGGUAGAAUUCCCGGUGUAGUGGUGAAAUGCGUAGAUAUCGGGAGGAAUACCAGUGGCGAAGGCGGCCUUCUGGGCCUGUUCUGACGCUGAGGUGCGAAAGCGUGGGGAGCGAAC
RNAcentral lists this ribosomal RNA (250 nucleotides) under uncultured bacterium. RNAcentral's name for it is "partial 16S ribosomal RNA". It matches the Rfam family "Bacterial small subunit ribosomal RNA", at positions 524 to 773 of the family's 1533-position model. The record is from RNAcentral.